CAGUAGCCGCGGGAAUACGGAGGGUGCAAGCGUUAAUCGGAAUUACUGGGCGUAAAGCGCACGCAGGCGGUCUGACAAGUCAGAUGUGAAAUCCCCGGGCUUAACCUGGGAACUGCAUUUGAAACUGUCAGGCUGGAGUCUUGUAGAGGGGGGUGGAAUUCCAGGUGUAGCGGUGAAAUGCGUAGAGAUCUGGAGGAAUACCGGUGGCGAAGGCGGCCCCCUGGACAAAGACUGACGCUCAGGUGCGAAAGCGUGGGGAGCAAACAGGAUUAGAUACCCGCGUAGUCCAUGUCUCUUAUAC
RNAcentral lists this ribosomal RNA (301 nucleotides) under uncultured bacterium. RNAcentral's name for it is "partial 16S ribosomal RNA". It matches the Rfam family "Bacterial small subunit ribosomal RNA", at positions 509 to 807 of the family's 1533-position model. The record is from RNAcentral.